AUGCCAAGCUUAUAAUUGACAGUAGCUGAUGAAUGUUGACCAAGUGAGACAACAUCAUGUCUGCUUGACAGAUAAGGACUGAACCAGUUUAAUACUGUGACACAGAAGGCAACAAGUCUCUGCAGUAGAUGUAGACGUUUACUGUAACUUACUCUACUAAUGACAGCAAUUAAAUACUAAAUAUAUAUUUAAUAUUUUCUUAUAAUCCAUAUUUAAUCUCAGGUCUUUUACAACAUUAAUCAUGUUUGGUCUGUAUUGUCUUUAUUUACCUAAUGCUGUUUUCAUGCUGCCCUCUUGGCCAGAUCUCUCUUGAAAAACAAUUUAUCACAAUAAGACGUUUACAUGAUUUUGUAAAUGUUAAAGGAAAGCUUACUUAAAAAGCUGAAUUUGUAAAUACUACACAGCAUCCUGAGUUUCUGUUAAUCAACAUGAGGAUGAUUCAAACAGCCAGCUGUCCCAGCACUGAGGAGGAAACACCAUGAUAUGUUGAGGACAGCUACAGUUCACUGACUCUGUGUGUUUGCAUAUCUGUCCUGCCUCUCUGCUCCCAGCCGUUAAGAGGCCAGUGUUGAUCAGUGGCUGUCCAGGCCUUUCAGAGCCACUGACACGCCGGCAGCACAAUGAUGAUGUCACUUAAUCUACUGCUGGCCACCCUGGGGCUCCUUGUUCAGGGUUCAUCAGGACAAAUCGUCGUGACUCAGUCUCCUGGAUCUCAGUCUGUUGUUCCAGGACAGACUGUCUCUCUCAGAUGUAAAACCAGUACAAGUGUUUAUAGUGAUGGUGUCAGCUACCUCCACUGGUACCUUCAGAAACCUGGAGAAGCUCCUAAACUCCUGAUUUAUCGAGCUACAGCCCGUCCGUCUGGAGUUCCAGGUCGUUUUAGUGGAAGUGGAAAUGGACCGAGUGACUUCACUCUGACCAUCAGUGGAGUUCAGGCUGAAGAUUCAGGAGUUUACUACUGUCAGCAGGGUUACAGCAGCCCGUUCACACAGUGAUACAACGUCGUACAAAAACCUCCCUCAGCUGGAGAGGAACUGAUCUGACUCAACAGCUGCACUGAAACUAAAACAUUAGAAGCUUUUCUGAAAGAAAACUCAUGAUUGUGUUAAAAAGUUAUAUUUUUAUUGUGGAAAUAUUUUUCAUAGAAUUCAGCAGAGUAUUUUAUUAUUACUGACUAACAGUGUUUGAGACAUUAUCACACUGUUACAGUUUACUCAAACACGGUUUUACAGCAAAGUUUCAAUCAGGAAAAAAAUGUUUCAACAAGGAAUUGUAACACAAAACUCUGAAUCAUUUGUUCUGGAGAAAAUGUUUGAUCUUUGACUGAUUUGUUGAGGCGACCUCUUUUUUCAAACUCACUGAGAAUACUGAAUUAGUCAAGAAGGAACCAGAAUUUAACACAAGUAAGCAGAGAAUUCAAACUGAAGGAUAAAUAGGUUAAUUAGCUAUUUAACACAUUCAAGAAAUGCAUACAAACAACAAAACAACACUUUAAAACAGUAAUGUUCUCUUUAGACCCAAAACAUUUUACACUAUUGAUGAAGCAGAGAUAUACACUCAGUGUCCACUUUAUUAGGUACACCUGUAAAGCCUAAUGCAAUCCAAUAGAAGCUUUCUGUCAUAGUCUACUUCAGUUUCAAGUUAUUUAUUGUCAAAUACACAACAAUUACAGUGAAGCAGUCAUUGGCAAUUGUCUUUUUUAAUUAAUAUUUUUAGUUCUCAGACUCCCUCCAAGAAUGAUUAACGAAAAUCAUGCAAGUAAAAAAGAAUCGAAAACAUAAAAUUGUGCAUAAGUAAAAAUAUACGAAUAUAAUAUGUUAUAUAUAUUAUAUAUAAUAUAAUACGAUUAAAUAAAAUAUAAUACUGUGGUAGGCAGGUGUACAGUAAUGAUAAAAUGAAUGAACUGUAAUGUAUGGGUAGAUAAAAACAAGAUUUUAGACAGGCAGUGCAUUAUAUAUAUAUAUAUAUAUACAUAUACAUAUAUAUAUAUACUGUGACGGUUGCACAGGUAGUAUAAAUAAAUAUACAUAUAUACAGGACAAAGCUGAAUGAAAGAGUGGAGAAACAUCUCAAAGCAGAUGCUUCGGUGCUCCAGGGCUCACUGAUCUGUUUGGCAAAGUCCACACCUGUGGAAGGUUUUUGACCAACGUGUAAGACAACGCUCUCCACCACCAUCUCCAUAAGACCAAAUGAUAUAAUAUAAACUUUCAUCUUCAGAUCUGUGUAGUGACGUCUGUGACUGUCUCUGAUGCUGUAUGUCCUUUAGUUUGUGUUUCCCUCUACCUGCUGUACUCAGGUCUGUCUGAUCUCAGUCAGAUGACCUGAUUAAUAAAGGUUGUAUAUAUAACUGAGGGAACAUCUUGUGGAGAAGGUGUUCAUCCCUCCAGUAGAGCUCCACAGACUGUACACAGCCCUGAAGCUGGUCUGGAGGCUCGUGGUGGCCUGACUCCAUACUAACACACUUUAUGCUGCCUUUUCCUGUCAGUUGUCACUCAUCGUUAUAUAUACUAUAUUUACUGUGUGUGUGUGUGUGUAUAUAUAUAUAUAUAUAUAUAUAUAUAUAAUAUGUAUGUAUGUAUGUAUGUAUGUAUGUGUGUAUGUAAUAUGUAAAUCAGUAAAAAUUAAAUUCUUUCCUUUUGUCAUCUCUUUUAUUUUUUCUUUGCGGUUGAACUCUUCAGCAGAAGCAGUGUGCAAAUAUUUCCAGGGUUAAAUAUGAAGAUCACACUCUUUUUGUGUUUUUCUAUGCUGAUGAUAUACUGCUUUAUAUUUCAGAUGUUUAAAAUAUUUCUCAUACUUACUUUUUUUAAGGAUAAUUCCUAUUCUUUGGAUACACCCAAAACAAUUACAAUAUUAUAGUCCUUACCAUUAAAACAAUUCAUUAUUAAGAGAUGAUUCGAUGAGUGUUCAUUAAAGUGUUCCCACCACAGGAUUUUGUUCCAAAGGUUUAUUAUUACAGACAAAUCUGUAAUGACUAUAGCAGAAAAUAGUUUCAGUCAUGAAGACAUUCAUAUCGAUUAUGAUAAAAAAAAUUGGCCUUAUACUACAACCAUCACUGGUUUGGACUAAUCAAAUAAUAGUGAUGGCAUCACCUAGGAGACACCAAUCAGCUUAGAGGACAGGGAACACACAGCUGUCAAUCAAACACAAGCAACUUGGACACCUUUACUGUGUGAGAGUGGAUUGUCUCCUUUAAGGAGUUUCUGUCAGAUGGUUUUUCUGCUCCACCAGUCACUCACUCACACAUUGUUUCACUUCCCUUUAAGAAACCUCUCAUGCAUAUCAGCACAGAAAGAGUCCUCAUAUGACCUGAAAGACAUCAAACUACACUGGAAAUAAAAGAACCAUAUUUCAAACUUUAAAAUACAAAAACACCUUUUUUUUAUAUUAUUUGAAGAAAACAUCGAAAUCCAGUUUGAAUAUAUUUUCAGUCAUCUAUGAUUUCAUUCAAAGUCCUGCUACAUUUAUACAAACAUAUUUACUGUCAAAGCUGUCAAAAGGGCAAAAGUUAAUCAGAUCCACUGUUAAAGGACAUUAUCAGCCAUAAAUAACUGACGACCAGGUAAACUGUUCAUCAGACAGAUUUAAAAAUACAAAUAGCAUCAGAGAAUUGUCGACAUUAUUUCAAACUGAGGU
Non-coding RNA from Siniperca chuatsi (mandarin fish), 3633 nucleotides. The record is from the annotation of a RefSeq genome assembly. Lineage: Eukaryota; Metazoa; Chordata; Actinopteri; Centrarchiformes; Sinipercidae.